This 431-nucleotide ribosomal RNA is filed under the name uncultured Methanolinea sp. RNAcentral describes it as "bacterial SSU rRNA". It matches the Rfam family "Archaeal small subunit ribosomal RNA", at positions 908 to 1338 of the family's 1478-position model. Lineage: Archaea; Methanobacteriati; Methanobacteriota; Methanomicrobia; Methanomicrobiales; Methanoregulaceae. The record is from RNAcentral.
GGACUCAACGCCGGGCAGCUCACCGGAUAAGACAGCUGGAUGAUAGCCGGGCUGAAGACUCUGCUUGACUAGCUGAGAGGAGGUGCAUGGCCGUCGUCAGUUCGUACUGUGAAGCAUCCUGUUAAGUCAGGCAACGAGCGAGACCCACGCCAACAGUUGCCAGCAUGUCCUCCGGGAUGAUGGGGACACUGUUGGGACCGCCUCUGCUAAAGAGGAGGAAGGAAUGGGCAACGGUAGGUCAGCAUGCCCCGAAUUAUCCGGGCUACACGCGGGCUACAAUGGUCAGGACAAUGGGUAUCGACACCGAGAGGUGGAGGCAAUCUCCUAAACCUGUCCUUAGUUCGGAUUGUGGGCUGCAACUCGCCCACAUGAAGCUGGAAUCCGUAGUAAUCGCGUUUCAAAAUAGCGCGGUGAAUAUGUCCCUGCUCCUU